This 74-nucleotide transfer RNA is filed under the name Lachnospiraceae bacterium. RNAcentral's name for it is "tRNA-Met". It matches the Rfam family "tRNA". From Rfam's summary of the family: Transfer RNA (tRNA) molecules are approximately 80 nucleotides in length. Their secondary structure includes four short double-helical elements and three loops (D, anti-codon, and T loops). Further hydrogen bonds mediate the characteristic L-shaped molecular structure. tRNAs have two regions of fundamental functional importance: the anti-codon, which is responsible for specific mRNA codon recognition, and the 3' end, to which the tRNAs corresponding amino acid is attached (by aminoacyl-tRNA synthetases). tRNAs cope with the degeneracy of the genetic code in two manners: having more than one tRNA (with a specific anti-codon) for a particular amino acid; and 'wobble' base-pairing, i.e. permitting non-standard base-pairing at the 3rd anti-codon position. The record is from RNAcentral. Lineage: Bacteria; Bacillati; Bacillota; Clostridia; Lachnospirales; Lachnospiraceae.
UGCGGCGUAGAGCAGUUCGGCAGCUCACCAGGCUCAUGCCCUGGAGGACGUGGGUUCGAAUCCUACCGCCGCAA